AACUCCUGACCUCAGGUCACCAACCUGCCUCGGCCUCCCAAAGUACUGGGAUUACAGGACAAGGACCACAUCUCAUUUUAUCCGUCAUCUAUCACAGCACACUUUCUACGUCCCAGGCACGUAGCAGUCUCGCUAUUUAAAUCACAUCUACCACUGUCUGCCCAUGAGGAGUCAUGCCAAGGGGCUGCUUUGCCCAUUCAGCUGGGAGAUCCGAAGAGCAGGUGAAGAGCUGUGAACAGUGGAGCCGGGCCUGAUGUCAGAGGUCAUUGAGGAAAAGCACCAAUGUCACAAGCCCGCUGCUACAGUAAGAAACCUGGGGGUCCCACGGUCUUUUACCCUUAAUACCAAGACUUGAAAACCCUUCGCUUAAAAUUUGAA
Long non-coding RNA from Sapajus apella (tufted capuchin), 378 nucleotides. RefSeq lists it as uncharacterized. The record is from RefSeq and is a predicted model, not a curated record. NCBI's taxonomy places the organism in Eukaryota, Metazoa, Chordata, Mammalia, Primates, Cebidae. The transcript has 3 exons.